This 253-nucleotide ribosomal RNA is filed under the name uncultured bacterium. RNAcentral's name for it is "partial 16S ribosomal RNA". It matches the Rfam family "Bacterial small subunit ribosomal RNA", at positions 524 to 776 of the family's 1533-position model. The record is from RNAcentral.
UACGUAGGGUCCAAGCGUUAUCCGGAAUCACUGGGCGUAAAGCGUGCGUAGGUGGCGCGUUAAGUGAGAUGUUAAAUCGUGUGGCUCAACCAUAUCGAUGCACCUCAUACUGGCGUGCUAGAGGACAGCAGAGGCAAGUGGAAUUUGUAGUGUAGCAGUGAAAUGCGUAGAUAUUACAAGGAACACCAAUGGCGAAGGCAGCUUGCUGGGCUACUCCUGACACUGAGGUACGAAAGCGUGGGGAGCGAACAGG